AGAGUUUGAUCCUGGCUCAGGAUGAACGCUAGCUACAGGCUUAACACAUGCAAGUCGAGGGAACGACAUCGAAAGCUUGCUUUUGAUGGGCGUCGACCGGCGCACGGGUGAGUAACGCGUAUCCAACCUGCCCACCACUUGGGGAUAACCUUGCGAAAGUAAGACUAAUACCCAAUGACGUCUCUAGAAGACAUCUGAAAAGAGAUUAAAGAUUUAUCGGUGAUGGAUGGGGAUGUGUCUGAUUAGCUUGUUGGCGGGGUAACGGCCACCAAGGCGACGAUUCAGUAGGGGUUCUGAGAGGAAGGUCCCCCACAUUGGAACUGAGACACGGUCCAAAACUCCUACGGGAGGCA
Molecule: ribosomal RNA, 353 nt
Filed under: uncultured bacterium
Lineage: Bacteria
Description: bacterial SSU rRNA
Rfam family: Bacterial small subunit ribosomal RNA
Source: RNAcentral